AAGUCCCGUAACGAGCGCAACCCUCGCCCUUAGUUGCCAUCAUUUAGUUGGGCACUCUAAGGGGACUGCCGGUGAUAAGCCGGAGGAAGGUGGGGAUGACGUCAAGUCCUCAUGGCCCUUACAGGCUGGGCUACACACGUGCUACAAUGGCGGUGACAGAGGGAUGCAAAGGAGCAAUCCUUAGCAAAUCUCAAAAAGCCGUCUCAGUUCGGAUUGUGCUCUGCAACUCGAGCACAUGAAGUUGGAAUCGCUAGUAAUCGCAGAUCAGCACGCUGCGGUGAAUACGUUCCCGGGCCUUGUACACACCGCCCGU
Molecule: ribosomal RNA, 313 nt
Filed under: uncultured soil bacterium
Lineage: Bacteria
Description: bacterial SSU rRNA
Rfam family: Bacterial small subunit ribosomal RNA
Source: RNAcentral